AUUGAACGCUGGCGGAAUGCUUUACACAUGCAAGUCGAACGGCAGCACGGACUUCGGUCUGGUGGCGAGUGGCGAACGGGUGAGUAAUGUAUCGGAACGUGCCCAGUCGUGGGGGAUAACGUAGUGAAAAUUACGCUAAUACCGCAUACGAUCUAUGGAUGAAAGCGGGGGAUCGCACGACCUCGCGCGAUUGGAGCGGCCCAUAUCAGAUUAGGUAGUUGGUGGGGUAAAGGCCCACCAAGCCAACGAUCUGUAGCUGGUCUGAGAGGACGACCUGCCACACUGGAACUGAGACACGGUCCAGACUCCUACGGGAGGCAGCAGUGGGGAAUUUUGGACAAUGGGCGAAAGCCUGAUCCAGCCAUUCCGCGUGCAGGAUGAAGGCCCUCGGGUUGUAAACUGCUUUUGUACAGAACGAAAAGGUUUCUACUAAUACUAGGAGCUCAUGACGGUACUGUAAGAAUAAGCACCGGCUAACUACGUGCCAGCCGCCGCAGUAA
RNAcentral lists this ribosomal RNA (500 nucleotides) under uncultured bacterium. RNAcentral describes it as "partial 16S ribosomal RNA". It matches the Rfam family "Bacterial small subunit ribosomal RNA", at positions 30 to 523 of the family's 1533-position model. The record is from RNAcentral.